UCCUGGUUUCCCAGGCAGUCCCAUCAGAGUGCUCAACUAAAUGGUAGCAACUAAAGACGAGGGUUGCGCUCGUUGCGGGACUUAACCCAACAUCUCGCGACACGAGCUGACGACAGCCAUGCAGCACCUGAACCACCAGUCCCCGAAGGGAAGAUCCUAUCUCUAGGACUGUCUGAUGUUGUCUAGCCCAGGUAAGGUUCUGCGCGUUGCUUCGAAUUGAACCACAUGCUCCACCGCUUGUGCGGGCCCCCGUCAAUUCCUUUGAGUUUUAAUCUUGCGACCGUACUCCCCAGGCGGGAUGCUUAAUGCGUUAGCUGCGCCACUGACAGGCAAGCCUGCCAACGGCUAGCAUCCAUCGUUUACGGCGUGGACUAC
Molecule: unclassified non-coding RNA, 375 nt
Filed under: uncultured Pseudomonadota bacterium
Lineage: Bacteria; Pseudomonadati; Pseudomonadota
Description: uncultured proteobacterium contains 16S-23S intergenic spacer region
Source: RNAcentral